This is a non-coding RNA of Chrysemys picta bellii (western painted turtle), 786 nucleotides long. The record is from RefSeq and is a predicted model, not a curated record. Lineage: Eukaryota; Metazoa; Chordata; Testudines; Emydidae.
CCUCUCAACGUUUUAAUGGCUGAGUUUUCCCCACCCAAAUAUGAAUAAUAAUAACAACAAAGAGGAGCAGGCAGGAGGGGGCAGAUGUGGUGUGUUUUGACAGCAGUUUCAGACUUGAAGGAGGCUGAGAGGCCAGCGAGUAAGAGAAAACACAGUCAAAGGGAAGAACAGCGUCAGCAAAAAAAGAAAAUAAAGACUAAAAAUGCAACCAGGCUUACAGAAAAGCUCCACAGCAGUCAGUUGCUUCUGGCGAAGGAGACAGGAAGUAGGGAACUGUACCAUCGCCAAGUAGUUUGAAAAGAAAAAACCUGCAUUAAUAGGGUGGGAUUUUAUUUAAAAAAAAAUUGUUUCGCUCAAAAGGGCAUUGGGUACUGCAAUCCAAGUCUUAGAAGGAUGUAGGCUGCACACAUAGAAAUGUCUCCUAAAUGAAACCACACCAAAAAGAACCUUUCAGCAGUGUCACAAAAGCAUUUGUAUAGAAUGCAAUUGACCACCAGGAAGAGAGGAGGAGGAUGCAACUGAACCCAACAUAGGUGACUAUGCAGCGAUGUUACAGGACGGAGAUACACUUGUGAAAUAUUCACGAGCUGAUGUCUUUGCAGCCCCGUGGGACCUGUGAAGAGCUCUUUUUUCCCCCACAUCUCUCUCUCAGACUUUAAAUAAUGAGCAGCAGAAAAGACUAACAGUCAUUGCAACACAGAUGGCUGUAAAUCAAAUCAAGUUGAAAUGUAAGUCUGACUCAUCUCUGUACAAUAUAUGAUUUGUUUGCAUUACAUUAUCUUGGAA